UGGAGAAUGUACAUCCUCUGGAAAGGGCGGAGUUAAAAUAUGAUUCUGAAUAUUUAGCUCAGGCAAAGCCUUUCUCGUGAAGAUGGACCUUCUGUAUUUGAAGUGGCAGUGGGAAGAGCAGAGCUAGGGGCUUCACUGGCGUGGAAGCUAUUUCCCCAGCUUUCCGUCACCUCCCUCCAUACCAUGUGUUGGCACUGUUGGCCAAUUGAGUCACCGAGAGUGACACUUCAGUAUGGGUGAUGAGGGCAAAGAGAGCAAGUGCUUCUCAACAUGGCUGCACAUUGGGAAGGGUCUGGAAAGCUUGAGGAAAUCCUGAUGCUGGGGCCCACCCCUAGACAUGCCGCCAUCACUGGUUUGAGGUGUGGUCCAGAUGUUCAUUGGCAUUCCCUCCUGACACCAACCCCAUCCUUCCUCCCCCACCUCAUCUUUGACCAUCAGACUUCACAAGGUGAGGUCCACACUUCCACCAAGCCCAGUUUAUUCUUACUUUCUAAAUGCUUUAUAAAUUUCAAUUUUCUAGUUUCUGAGUGUUAGGGUUUGGAUAUGAGGUAUGGCCCCCAAAAGCUCAUGUGCUAAUGUGGCAUGUUCAGAGCUGAAAUGAUUAGAUCAUGAGAGUUGAAACCUGAUCCGUGAAUUGGUCCAGUUGAUGGAUUAACGAAUCAAAAGGACAACUGUACAAAGCAGUAGCUGUAGGCAGGUGGGCAUGGGGGUGUGACCUUGGAGGUUCUAUAUGCUCCUCAUGUGCAUGUACGUUCUCUCUCUCUCUCUCUCUCUCUCUCUCUCUCUCUCUCUCCUCUUCCUCUCUGUCAUGAGCUGAGCAGCUUUCCUCUGCCAUGACCUUCUGCAAUGAUGUUUUGCCUCACCUCAGACCCAGAGCAAUGGAGCCAGCCGAACAUAGACUACACCUCUGCAAACAAGAGCCCCAAAAUAAACAUGAUCCUCCUCUAACUUGUUCUUGUCGGGUGUUUUGUUCCCAGCGAUGAUGAGCUGACUGACACACCUAGUUCACAGUCAGUAAGCAGGCACCCUGUUCUGCACCCUGUUCCUCAAGUGCCUAAGAAGACUGGAGCUGGGACAAGCUCAAAGUCACACUCAAGGACAUCACUGUGGUAUAGAACAGACCUCUUCAGCCGAGGAUUGUUUUUAACAAUGACCAAUCGUCUACAUUAUCAGUUGACCAUUAUCAGUUGACUUGGAAAAUACACACUUCACUUUCAUAUAAAAUGAAGUUGGUUGAUUUAUUUUGAAUAUUUGGUGAUGGCUGGUUGUCAUGACAAGAAUGCAUGUUAUCUACUCUAAAGGGGAAGCCCUCUCUACCAGUGAAGGUGAAUCCAUUCAUCUGCCAGAGUUGCUGGGUGUCAACAGGCAGAGCUCCAUGGAGAGGGUGGACCUAGGCUGGAGCACAUGGGAGGUGCCACCUAGACAAGGCCAAGGAAGGGAAGGGAACAGUCUGUUCACAUCCCGCCUUCCUGUCCCUCAGAGUCAGAAGCACUGAGAAUUCAGACAGGAGGCCUCCUUGGCUACUUGGGUUUAGAGAAUCUCAAUGGGAUUUAU
This 1554-nucleotide long non-coding RNA is filed under the name Marmota monax (woodchuck). The record is from RNAcentral. Lineage: Eukaryota; Metazoa; Chordata; Mammalia; Rodentia; Sciuridae.